Molecule: RNA transcript, 879 nt
Organism: Anthonomus grandis grandis
Lineage: Eukaryota; Metazoa; Arthropoda; Insecta; Coleoptera; Curculionidae
Exons: 5
Source: RefSeq, a predicted model, not a curated record
UUUUCGUCGGAGCAGACAAUUUUUCGACCGUUUCGUAACGAACGGGUGUGGCGGAAAUGGCCGAACCAUGUAAAUUUCGACGCUUCGUCUAUGUUUAGUUUUGUUAUAAAAAUUACCGUGAGUGCAUACGUUUUGUACGCUGUUUCACUGAUUGUUAAAAAGUAAAAAUAAAUUUGUGCACGCUUCAGCACAAACCCCGCUUCAAAGGAGACAAGGAAACUUCGAUGACCAAACGUACUACAUUUUAUCCUCUUCAAGGCAAAAGGCGAUUCCAGUGCGAUUUUCGGAACUAUUAAGAUCAGAAAGACUAACGGACUUCGACGAAAAUUAUGAAAGUGUUACGAAUAUUGGAUCGGACAGCAUAAAACUUACUCCAGCACCAUUAUUAAGGCAUAGAUCUAAAGAUCCACUUAAUUAUGAACUACGAGUGGUGGAGGGGCCCAAGGAAAGUCACUUUUUAAAAAAGACCAGAGCUUGGUAUUUUUUGGUUGGAGUACUUUUAUUAAUAAUGAAUGCUAUUUCCAUUUAUUUGUUCUUAACAAAAAUUAAUCAAGAGACUGUUCCGGGCUCUUUAAAGAAAGAAGUGGAGACUGCUCUUGCCGGCAUUCGUUUUUUAACGUCCUUUAUGGAUGGAUUUCACAAAACAACAAUAAUGGCCUUACAAAAUAUCACUGCCUUAACACGCAAUGUAACCACCAUGGCUGAGAAAUUACAAAACCUAAAUAAACAAAAGCAGGUUUUAAAGAAACCUGUCAAGAGUAAAUUUCAACAAUACGAGCAGUCGAUGUAUUAUAACAAUGAAGAAGUAGAAACGUAAUUAAGUGGAUAAAUAACCUGUAAGCUAAAAUACUUCUCAAAUAAAAAAUAUAUAUAUACUAA